UACGUAGGGGGCAAGCGUUGUCCGGAAUCAUUGGGCGUAAAGAGCGCGUAGGCGGUCCAGUAAGUCCGCUCUGAAAGUCCGGGGCUCAACCCCGGGAGGCGGGCGGAUACUGUCGGGCUAGAGUCCGGAAGAGGCGAGUGGAAUUCCUGGUGUAGCGGUGAAAUGCGCAGAUAUCAGGAGGAACACCAAUGGCGAAGGCAGCUCGCUGGGACGGUACUGACGCUGAGGCGCGAAAGCGUGGGGAGCAAACAGG
RNAcentral lists this ribosomal RNA (253 nucleotides) under uncultured bacterium. RNAcentral's name for it is "partial 16S ribosomal RNA". It matches the Rfam family "Bacterial small subunit ribosomal RNA", at positions 524 to 776 of the family's 1533-position model. The record is from RNAcentral.